This 443-nucleotide ribosomal RNA is filed under the name uncultured Desulfobulbus sp. RNAcentral describes it as "bacterial SSU rRNA". It matches the Rfam family "Bacterial small subunit ribosomal RNA", at positions 945 to 1382 of the family's 1533-position model. Lineage: Bacteria; Pseudomonadati; Thermodesulfobacteriota; Desulfobulbia; Desulfobulbales; Desulfobulbaceae. The record is from RNAcentral.
UUUAAUUCGAUGCAACGCGAAGAACCUACCUGGUCUUGACAUCCCGGAGACCCUUAGGAAACUAAGGGGGUGCUUCCAUCUGGAAGAAUCUGGAGACAGGUGCUGCAUGGCUGUCGUCAGCUCGUGUCGUGAGAUGUUGGGUUAAGUCCCGCAACGAGCGCAACCCUUGCCUUUAGUUGCCAGCAGUUCGGCUGGGCACUCUAAAGGGACUGCCGGUGUUAAACCGGAGGAAGGUGGGGAUGACGUCAAGUCCUCAUGGCCUUUAUGACCAGGGCUACACACGUACUACAAUGGCCGAUACAAAGGGCAGCGACACUGCGAGGUGAAGCCAAUCCCGUAAAAUCGGUCUCAGUCCGGAUUGGAGUCUGCAACUCGACUCCAUGAAGUUGGAAUCGCUAGUAAUCGUGGAUCAGCAUGCCACGGUGAAUACGUUCCCGGGCCUU